Molecule: ribosomal RNA, 527 nt
Filed under: uncultured bacterium
Lineage: Bacteria
Description: bacterial SSU rRNA
Rfam family: Bacterial small subunit ribosomal RNA
Source: RNAcentral
AUGGCUCAGGACGAACGCUGGCGGCGUGCCUAAUACAUGCAAGUCGAACGGUCUUUCUAUGGAAGCUUGCUUCCACUGAGAAGAUAGUGGCGAACGGGUGAGUAACACGUGGGUAACCUGCCCAUAAGAGGGGGGAUAACAUCCGGAAACGGGUGCUAAUACCGCAUAGUUUUCUUGAUCGCAUGACCGGGAAAGGAAAGACGGCCUUUGUGCUGUCGCUUAUGGAUGGACCCGCGGCGUAUUAGUUAGUUGGUGAGGUAACGGCUCACCAAGACGAUGAUACGUAGCCGACCUGAGAGGGUGAUCGGCCACAUUGGGACUGAGACACGGCCCAAACUCCUACGGGAGGCAGCAGUAGGGAAUCUUCCGCAAUGGACGAAAGUCUGACGGAGCAACGCCGCGUGAGUGAAGAAAGGUUUUCGGAUCGUAAAACUCUGUUGUCAGAGAAGAACAAGUUGGAGAGUAACUGCUCCAGCCUUGACGGUAUCUGACCAGAAAGCCACGGCUAACUACGUGCCAGCCGCAGC